UACGGAGGGUGCAAGCAUUGAUCGGAAUUACUGGGCGUAAAGGGUGCGUAGGCGGCAAUAUAAGUCGGAUGUGAAAUUCCACGGCUCAACUGUGGAGCUGCAUUCGAAACUGUAUAGCUGGAGCGUAGUUAGGGAAAACGGAAUUCCACGUGUAGCGGUGAAAUGCGUAGAUAUGUGGAAGAACACCAGUGGUGAAGACGGUUUUCUGGGCUAUAGCUGACGCUGAGGCACGAAAGCUAGGGGAGCAAACAGG
This 253-nucleotide ribosomal RNA is filed under the name uncultured bacterium. Its description in RNAcentral is "partial 16S ribosomal RNA". It matches the Rfam family "Bacterial small subunit ribosomal RNA", at positions 524 to 776 of the family's 1533-position model. The record is from RNAcentral.